AAGCAUGUCAGUAGGACACCUUUUGAUCAGUUGCUUAUAUCUCUCCCAAGCUUCAUAGAGGGAUUCACCUUCCUUCUGUCUGAAGGUUUGGAUUUCCACUAUAAGCUU
Arachis duranensis is the source of this 108-nucleotide small nucleolar RNA. Lineage: Eukaryota; Viridiplantae; Streptophyta; Magnoliopsida; Fabales; Fabaceae. The record is from RefSeq and is a predicted model, not a curated record.